This 898-nucleotide ribosomal RNA is filed under the name uncultured Gammaproteobacteria bacterium. RNAcentral's name for it is "bacterial SSU rRNA". It matches the Rfam family "Bacterial small subunit ribosomal RNA", at positions 49 to 934 of the family's 1533-position model. Lineage: Bacteria; Pseudomonadati; Pseudomonadota; Gammaproteobacteria. The record is from RNAcentral.
UUACACAUGCAAGUCGAACGGCAGCAGUAUCUAGUUUACUAGAUAGCUGGCGAGUGGCGAACGGGUGAGUAAAGCGUAGGGAUCUGCCGUGGAGCGGGGGACAACCCGGGGAAACUCGGGCUAAUACCGCGUACGCCCGCAAGGGGAAAGGGUGCGCCCGCAAGGGGCACUCGCUCUGCGAUGAACCUACGUCCGAUUAGCUAGUUGGUGGGGUAAAGGCCCACCAAGGCGACGAUCGGUAGCUGGUCUGAGAGGACGAACAGCCACACUGGGACUGAGACACGGCCCAGACUCCUACGGGAGGCAGCAGUGGGGAAUAUUGGACAAUGGGGGCAACCCUGAUCCAGCGAUGCCGCGUGUGUGAAGAAGGCCUGCGGGUUGUAAAGCACUUUUAUUGGUGAGGAAAGCAAAUAGAUUAAGAGUUAAUUUGUAUGACGUUAACCAAAGAAUAAGCACCGGCUAACUCCGUGCCAGCAGCCGCGGUAAUACGGAGGGUGCAAGCGCUAAUCGGAAUUACUGGGCGUAAAGGGUGCGUAGGUUGUUAUUUAAGUUAGCUGUGAAAUACCCGGGCUUAACCUGGGGGUGUCAGCUAAUACUGGGUAACUAGAGAACAGUAGAGGGUGGCGGAAUUUCCGGAGUAGCGGUGAAAUGCGUAGAGAUCUGGAGGAACAUCAGUGGCGAAGGCGACUCACUGGGCCAUUAUUGACGCUGAGGUGCGAAAGCGUGGGUAGCAAACAGGAUUAGAUACCCUGGUAGUCCACGCCCUAAACGAUGUCAACUAGGUGUAUGGGAAAUUUAUUUCUUGUGUAUCGAAGCUAACGCGAUAAGUUGACCGCCUGGGGAGUACGGUCGCAAGACUAAAACUCAAAUGAAUUGACGGGGGCCCGCACAAGCGGUG